ACGGAGGGUGCAAGCGUUAUUCGGAAUUACUGGGCGUAAAGCGCGUGUAGGCGGCCCUGCAAGUCUGAUGUGAAAGCCCCGGGCUUAACCCGGGAAGUGCAUUGGAAACUGCCGGUCUUGAGUACUGGAGAGGAUUGGGGAACUCCCGGUGUAGCGGUGAAAUUCGUAGAGAUCGGGAGGAAGAACAGUGGCGAAGGCGCCCUUCUGGACAAUAUCUGACGUUGAGUCGCGAAAGCGUGGGGAGCAAACAG
RNAcentral lists this ribosomal RNA (251 nucleotides) under uncultured prokaryote. RNAcentral describes it as "partial 16S rRNA". It matches the Rfam family "Bacterial small subunit ribosomal RNA", at positions 525 to 775 of the family's 1533-position model. The record is from RNAcentral.